Long non-coding RNA from Bombina bombina (fire-bellied toad), 620 nucleotides. RefSeq lists it as uncharacterized. The record is from RefSeq and is a predicted model, not a curated record. NCBI's taxonomy places the organism in Eukaryota, Metazoa, Chordata, Amphibia, Anura, Bombinatoridae. The transcript has 3 exons.
GGUGUCUGGAAACCCCCAGAAAAACAACCUUGAAAUUCCUAAGAAAACAAUAUGUGAAGAAAAAUGGACUUUACACUAGAUUUGACUUAAAAGGGGUCUGAUGAUAAAAGGAUCUCCAGUUCCACUAAGAAACACUCUUUUCAGUCUUGUCAAGCUUUCACUUGGAGAAAUGUUCCCAGUGCCUUCCAUAGACUCCCUAUGACUCGAGUGUUUGCUUGCCAUGGGUAUCCACUGGUUGCCUUGUCUACCCCAUGAACAAACCAUCAGAUUUCCAGUAUCUCCCUGCGGAAGAACCGUGGAUAAGCACCCCUACUGCAAAUGAACUGUUGGAGAACUGUAUUAUAGCAAAGUGUCAAGGUGCAGCGCUCUCAAAUGGACAAAGACUGUUCUUAAAGUGUUCAGAGGCCACCUAGAGACAGUUGUGCUGUUGCUAUGUCAUGCUUUACUGUGCAAAAGGAACUGUUGGACAUAUUGGGGGGUGCUAGCAAUGCAGGUGGAGAAAUAAACAAUGCAGCGUUGUUUGGGGGUAGAUGGGAGGCUGGUUGGGUCUCUGUGCCGGUAGACCGGUAGUCUUGGGAAGGCUGGAAGAUAGAUGGAGGGUAUUGGAGGGGAUGUACCUA